Long non-coding RNA from Polypterus senegalus (gray bichir), 107 nucleotides. RefSeq lists it as uncharacterized. The transcript has 2 exons. The record is from RefSeq and is a predicted model, not a curated record. Lineage: Eukaryota; Metazoa; Chordata; Cladistia; Polypteriformes; Polypteridae.
CAGCGACUGCAUCUCCUACAUCAACAAAUUCUCAACAACAACCACAGCAUCGCCAACAACUGAGACUUCUACAACGACAAGUGGUUCAACAGCAUCCACAACUAUGU